Molecule: unclassified non-coding RNA, 254 nt
Filed under: uncultured fungus
Lineage: Eukaryota; Fungi
Description: partial contains 5.8S ribosomal RNA, internal transcribed spacer 2, and large subunit ribosomal RNA
Rfam family: 5.8S ribosomal RNA (bases 1-52)
Source: RNAcentral
AACGCACAUUGCGCCCUUUGGUAUUCCGAAGGGCAUGCCUGUUCGAGCGUCAUUUCACCAAUCAAGCCCCGCUUGGUAUUGGGAGCCAGGCCCGCGCCUCAUCCGCGCGGGCCCUCCCGGAAUGAAUCGGCGAGGACAUCGACCCCCGGCGUGUUAGAAAUCUCUACGCCGGGAGCACCGAUCCACCUCCGCCGUCGGAAAUCUUUUUCAAAAAGGUUGACCUCGGAUCAGGUAGGAAUACCCGCUGAACUUAA